Molecule: ribosomal RNA, 253 nt
Filed under: uncultured bacterium
Lineage: Bacteria
Description: partial 16S ribosomal RNA
Rfam family: Bacterial small subunit ribosomal RNA
Source: RNAcentral
UACGGAGGGGGCUAGCGUUGUUCGGAAUUACUGGGCGUAAAGCGCGCGUAGGCAGACCUGCAAGUCGGGGGUGAAAGCCCGAGGCUCAACCUCGGAACUGCCUUCGAUACUGCGGGUCUCGAGUCCGGGAGAGGUGAGUGGAAUUCCUAGUGUAGAGGUGAAAUUCGUAGAUAUUAGGAAGAACACCAGUGGCGAAGGCGGCUCACUGGCCCGGUACUGACGCUGAGGAGCGAAAGUGUGGGGAGCGAACAGG